Molossus molossus (Pallas's mastiff bat) is the source of this 1185-nucleotide long non-coding RNA. RefSeq lists it as uncharacterized. NCBI's taxonomy places the organism in Eukaryota, Metazoa, Chordata, Mammalia, Chiroptera, Molossidae. The transcript is spliced from 8 exons. The record is from RefSeq and is a predicted model, not a curated record.
ACCACAGAUGGAGCAGCUCUCCCAGGAGCAGGGAUGCCUGAGCUCUGGGGCUGAGUUCCCGGGGACCCCACGGAGCUCCCCCCCCUUCCCGGCUGCCCAGGGGAUUCUGCACCUACCUGCGGCCGGGCCAAAGCCCUGCUCUGCCACCGGGGUCCAGGGACUGGCACAAUAACCCCUUUGAAACGGCCGGAGUGUUGGCAAAGUGACCAGCAGAUCCUUGCAGGGACCGAAGGCGGUUUCAUCGACACGGAGGCAGAGAGAGCUGCAUCUCCGAUGAUGCUCCGCAGCGUUGAGAGGGACGUGGCCCGGCCCGGAAAAUAAAAGCUGAAAAUAGACUGAAGCAUCAAGUAUUUUUAUAGCUCUCCAUCCAGAUGACGGGCUGCUCUGUGAAUCGCGUUGCGUGCCGCCGGCCGUCCCCGGGAAGGACGGGUGGCCAGCUUCUCGCCCGGCUGGCAUAUGUGAAACGAGUUGGAAGGUGCUCAGCCUUCUAGGUUGAUGCAAAAAACAUUUGGUAUCCUGUUGAUUGAAGGAACAGAUGCUUGCAUAAUUUCUGAAGCCAGAAAUACAUUCACAAUAUCCUCCAGAAAUAGUAAGGAAGAAGUCUAAACGUCAGAACGAGGAAACACAAAUAUUUUUCAGGUAGACAACCCCUGAAACAUUAAAAAUAAAAGCAAAGUUGAUGAAUGUUUAAAAUUACGAUACCCGAGUCUAAUUCUGUGUAGCAGCAUCGAAGCUCCCACCUGUUUUAAAGUAACUUCGGCCAUAAGCUGAAGGACAAGACCUAUCUUGAAGGGCCAUCAGGAGAAGUCACCCGGGUCCCCGACUCUGCAUCCCUGCGUCGGGUGCGCCGCGGGCUCCUGUUCCGGAGAGUUUGCGGUUCACUGUGACCUGUCUUCCCGGGGCUCUCCCCGCCCGUCCCCGGUAGCACCGACCGGACAAAAGGCAUUCGAAUCUUCGGAGAUCGAGAUUUGCUAGUAAUGUGGCCCAAUAGUCCAGAGGUUGCCCUGGAGAUGCUCUCUCCCCAGAGGACAUUCAGGACACUUCUAUAGAGCGAGCUAAAACGGAGCGGGUUAAGCUGUAAAUCUCCUCCCGGCUCUGCGCUGCCCCUAACACGUUCGAAGGAACUGGAAUGAAGAAUGAACGAGGCUCGUGCCCUUCCACGUGUCCAGAUGGCGCCCACGUGCA